AUUGAACGCUAGCGGGAUGCUUUACACAUGCAAGUCGAACGAGUGGCGGACGGGUGAGUAAUAUAUCGGAAGUGCCCAGUAGCGGGGGAUAACUACUGGAAACGGUAGCUAAUACCGCAUACUAUCGGAUAACCCAUAUGGGAUUAGCUAGUAGGUGAGGUAAUGGCUAGCCUAGGCGACGAUCCCUAGCUGGUCUGAGAGGAUGAGCAGUCACACGGGGACUGAGACACGGCCCAGACUCCUACGGUGGAAGCAGUGGGGAAUAUUGCACAAUGUGCGCAAGCCUGAUGCAGCCAUGCCGCGUGUAUGAAGAAGGCCCUAGGGUUGUAAAGUACUUUCAGUCGGGAGGCGUUACCGACAGAAGAAGCACCGGCUAACUCCGUGCCAGCAGCCGCGGUAAUAC
RNAcentral lists this ribosomal RNA (403 nucleotides) under uncultured bacterium. Its description in RNAcentral is "partial 16S ribosomal RNA". It matches the Rfam family "Bacterial small subunit ribosomal RNA", at positions 30 to 526 of the family's 1533-position model. The record is from RNAcentral.